RNAcentral lists this ribosomal RNA (497 nucleotides) under uncultured bacterium. Its description in RNAcentral is "partial 16S ribosomal RNA". It matches the Rfam family "Bacterial small subunit ribosomal RNA", at positions 28 to 507 of the family's 1533-position model. The record is from RNAcentral.
GAUGAACGCUGGCGGCGUGCCUAAUACAUGCAAGUCGAGCGAACAGAUGAGGAGCUUGCUCCUCUGACGUUAGCGGCGGACGGGUGAGUAACACGUGGAUAACCUACCUAUAAGACUGGGAUAACGUCGGGAAACCGGAGCUAAUACCGGAUAAUAUAUUGAACCGCAUGGUUCAAUAGUUAAAGACGGUUUUGCUGUCACUUAUAGAUGGAUCCGCGCCGCAUUAGCUAGUUGGUAAGGUAACGGCUUACCAAGGCAACGAUGCGUAGCCGACCUGAGAGGGUGAUCGGCCACACUGGAACUGAGACACGGUCCAGACUCCUACGGGAGGCAGCAGUAGGGAAUCUUCCGCAAUGGGCGAAAGCCUGACGGAGCAACGCCGCGUGAGUGAUGAAGGUCUUCGGAUCGUAAAACUCUGUUAUUAGGGAAGAACAAAUGUGUAAGUAAAUAUGCACGUCUUGACGGUACCUAAUCAGAAAGCCACGGCUAACUACGUG